This 101-nucleotide microRNA precursor is filed under the name Pelobates cultripes (western spadefoot toad). The record is from RNAcentral. Lineage: Eukaryota; Metazoa; Chordata; Amphibia; Anura; Pelobatidae.
GGUAACGUUUUACCGGGCCUUACGCGUUUCGUGACAAUCUGUCACUUCAUCAGAGGAAGUGACAGAUUGUCACGAAAACGCGUAAGGCUGCAUCUUACCGA